CCUGGCGACAAUAGCGACGUGGCACCACCUGAAUCCAUUUCGAACUCAGAAGUGAAACACGUUAGCGGCGAUGGUAGUGUGGGGUCUCCCCAUGUGAGAGUAGCACAUCGCCAGGC
This 116-nucleotide ribosomal RNA is filed under the name Alteromonas pelagimontana. The record is from RNAcentral. Lineage: Bacteria; Pseudomonadati; Pseudomonadota; Gammaproteobacteria; Alteromonadales; Alteromonadaceae.